Molecule: long non-coding RNA, 3479 nt
Organism: Mercenaria mercenaria
Lineage: Eukaryota; Metazoa; Mollusca; Bivalvia; Venerida; Veneridae
Exons: 3
Source: RefSeq, a predicted model, not a curated record
GGAAACAGGAAACUGGAAGGAUAAUCCGGAAUGAUUUGUUACGAAGUCACAUCUUGAGCAGGUGCAAUUGGCUGUAUUCAAACAAUGACACUGCCUGAUAGCUCUAAAUAAAGUGUAUUUAGGUAGACAAAUGCUGAAACAAAGUUUGAUCGGAAUAAGUCGGGCAUAUGUUAUAUAAUCCAGACUCCUAAAGUGAUCACUGAGGCUGUUAAAGAACAGGACUUUGAGGUCAUGUUGGAGGUAAAAGAAAAACACUCCUCCAAAAUUAGUGAAAUGACAAAGAGACAGCCUAUUUAGUAGGAAAUUGCACAUGCCACUGGUGCAAUAGGGAGAGUCCAGUGUUAUUUGCAGUUCAGUUAUUUGCAACAGUCUGUGUUUUCGACAUCGAAUAAUCAUUCUUAAGCAAUGUCUUUAGGAUUCUUGCAGGAAUUUGUAUAUGAAGAACAGUAUUCAAAUGAAAGUUAAGAAAAUCAUUUUUUUUCUGUAAGAAGUAUAGAACAGUAUUUAAAUAAAUGAGUUACAUGGUUAAGGUAUUGGGAGGGUAAUAAAAUUAGCAGUCACCUGCAAAUAUUUCUUUCAUCUGAAAUAUCAUUUUGGUUUGUAUUUUGCUGAAAUCAAAUGCAGCAGUUCAAGGUAGAGAAUAGUUUUCAAUAAUGCUAAUAUCAAUGAAUGGCACCACUGGUCUCCUCUGAGCAGAAAGAUUGACAUUUUUCAAAUAAUAUUACUGGGUUUUUCAAAAUAGUAUUUUUGGUACUGAGCAGGGACAUAUUUUACAAAAUGGACUUAUUGGUACUGAGCAAGUUGAUUGAAAUUCUCAAAAUGUUACUAUUAGUUCUGAGCAGACAUAUUGAUAUUUUCUAAAUGCAGUUGGGAUUGAGCAGGCUUUUAACAUUUUUCAAAUGAAAUUGUAUAUAUAUAUUAUUGCAUAUUACAGUAAUUUAUAAAUAAAUGUGUACUUUCUUAUGUUCUGAGCUGUAUGCAAGAAUAAAAUAGUAGUAUAUUUUUUCUAUAUUAUUGUAUAAGUCUGUCAAGAUUAUGUCUAGUCGAAAUGUUGGUUUUAUGCCACUGAUGAAAAUAAUUUUGUAACUAGUAUUUCAACCUUACCUGAUUUAUUUGCUUUGGGAAAAAGUCAUAGUCAUGUGCCAGUGUCUUUUUGUUAAAACAAUAUCCUGAAUUUUUCUUUCGUAUCAUUUUAUCUUUGAAACUUGGAUUAUGACCAUCGUCUAUUUGCAGGAGUACAAAAUUCUGUCAAUAUUUUUUCAUUAUGAUAAUUUUUUACACAGUUUCUAAAUUUUUUAGGAUAGUGAACCUUUUAUAGGAAAUUAUGUUCAAAGCAUGGUAGCUUGUUUGUCAUGUACUAUAUUGACCCAAAGUGUUUGCUUCUUUUCACCCAUUUGACGACAGGAUGUGAAAUCAUUUUAGAGCAAAGCAGUAAGACAAUUUUUUUUAACUCAAUCAGUUCAGUCAUGCGCUUCCAUAAAACAGUUACAAUAUACACAAAAACAGACUGUGUUACAAUGAAUAUACCAAUUGAAUUAUUGAUAGUAAGAUAUUUUGCAGCAGACUAAUAUCUUCACAUGUUUUUAUGACAGUUUUUUCAGGUAUGUUUAAAAUACAACAAAGAACAAUAUACAUGUACAUAAAAAGCUCAUGCUUGUAAAAUAGUCAGAUUAAGUAGUUGCACAUGAUGUUGGUAGUUUUUCUUCAAAAUGUUUUUAAAUAAAGUUUUUUUUUCAGCAGUAAAUGUUAUUAUGUAUAACAAACAUCCCUUAGAAAAACAUGUCUCUUGUCCAGUGUUCAAAACUGAAUGCAGUAUGUUCAACUAAUGUUCAUAUUCUUAACGUCCAUGUCUUUGAGCAUGUUCUAGGCGUUCAAUAUCUGUUGCAUUGGAAUUGAACACGUCCUGGGUGUUCACAGACUGUUCAUUUACGGAACUGUAAGUGUUACCAAUCUGAACACUAACAUUAAAUCAAAGUACUGAGAGGACUGAUGGGGGACAUCAUGUGUUAUUGACAGUCUAACAAAAACAGGCAAAUUUUGUAACACUUUAUGAAAGUUUGGAAAGAAAGUCGAAAUAUUCCACUAUGUGAAAGUUUAAUGGAACAGGAUUUCCUUGAACUGACAUUGAAAAAGAAACAACUAGGCUAUGUUUUCUAAUGUGCACAAUGCUUAUCAAUUAAAAAAGUCAGGAAUGUUUUUUGUUACAAUUAAGCAUCAUUUUAGUAAGAAGUAGUCGUCAUAAGUUAAUACACACACACACCUGUAAAAAUAUUUUUUUAUAGAUCUACCUUUUUUCCAUUCCAACUAUUGCUAAAAUUCAGUAACUGUUUUCUUAAAAACAUACAUGACAUAUGAUGAUACUAUUUUUCAUUUUGUUUGUUAUGUUUGUUGAUCUAAAUAACAUUGUCUGUUUCAGUUUUAUGUUAUUUGAUAUACACCUGUAUUUCAAACUAUGAAUAUCAUAAUAUAAGAAAUACAUCAAACACUAUGAAAACCGUGAUUCGUUGCUUCGAAAGAAGUCCAUAAUAAAUAGAUCCUAAUUUUCCCAUUUUUUGCGCAAACUCCUGUAGAACGAGUGCUUUAUGCCUUUAGUCACCAUUUUUCACUACUAAAAUACAUUCUGCAUGAAAUGAGACGGUUUUCAUGUUCGUACACACCACGUGGCAAAUUUUGCAGAUCGAAACCGGAAGUAGGUGUUUACUGCGCGGACGAAAGCUAAUGUGCGCCAUUUUUAGAGUAGCAGACCACAACUGACUGGCAUUUCAUUAGGAACUACAUAACCCCCUAUUUUCUUUUCAUUUUUUUUCGUUAAUUUGUCAUAGAACUUUCAUGAAAAAUAGGUGUAGGAAAAAGUGAUGUUCUCUAAAGAUACGUAUAGACGACCUGAAGUUGUCGUUUUCUAUAUGAAACAAAGAAGGAUUUGACUUAAUGACCUUUAACCUAUACAGUUAGGUUCGAGUAAAUUAGGAUACGAAACGCCCGUGGAAAAAAAAUUCUGGUGGUUCUGCCUUCGAAUAUCACCAUCAGAAACCAAUUGCACCCUCAGAUAGAUGAAAUACAUUAAUCUGGUAACAUAAAAGUACAUCUGCAGGGAUAAUUACCAAGAAAAAGAGGCCAAAAUAUAACGGGCACCUGCGGCAAGUUAACAUCGCGGAAUGGCGGAUUACCUCCCGUAGCAAAAAUUACUCGGUGUGAACAAUGAUAAAAUACGUAUAUGUACGUAUAUGUACGCGCAAUUAUAACAGUAUUUAGCGCACUCUUUAUGUUAAACGAUAAUUUUCCUGCAGAUAAGUACCAGUUUGAUCAGCGUAUAUGGCGUUUUUUGAUAGAAAAAUCUGGGAAUGAAUUUUUUCUUCGGUCGUUUUUCAAGGAUUUCCCGAACAUUAUAUGUUAAACAGGUCAUAUACGUAAUGUUCUGAUCUUUAUACUAAAGAAUCAGGCACAUGUUCCGUUUGGGAAAUGCCAAAUACUUUCCCAGA